RNAcentral lists this ribosomal RNA (259 nucleotides) under uncultured bacterium. Its description in RNAcentral is "partial 16S ribosomal RNA". It matches the Rfam family "Bacterial small subunit ribosomal RNA", at positions 793 to 1055 of the family's 1533-position model. The record is from RNAcentral.
GUCCACGCCCUAAACGAUGAUAACUCGUUGUUGGCGAUACACAGUCAGCGACUAAGCGAAAGCAUUAAGUUAUCCACCUGGGGAGUACGACCGCAAGGUUGAAACUCAAAGGAAUUGACGGGGGCCCCGCACAAGCGGAGGAGCAUGUGGUUUAAUUCGAUGAUACGCGAGGAACCUUACCUGGGCUUGAAAGUUAGUGACAUUCUGUGAAAGCAGAACUUCCGCAAGGACACGAAACUAGGUGCUGCAUGGCUGUCGU